GCUAAAUAAGCCAACCAGUAAAACUACCAGUUUUGCAGGUGGAGCAGGAAAGGAAAGACAUAGUUCAUAACUCUGCCUCUAUGACACCAACAAGCAGAGCUUCGUCUUCCAGAAGGCAUCUUGGUGCAGUCAACAAGUACCAGCUGUGUCACCGCGGUCUCUGCAUGAGCAAACAAUUACAGGACAGAGCCACACCUGGAUUUGUGCCUGCAAGUGAGGCUGCUCAGACAGACCACAUGACUGAUCCAACAAAGAUGGCUUCACACCACAAAU
RNAcentral lists this long non-coding RNA (273 nucleotides) under Gallus gallus (chicken). RNAcentral describes it as "long non-coding RNA NONGGAT001206". Lineage: Eukaryota; Metazoa; Chordata; Aves; Galliformes; Phasianidae. The record is from RNAcentral.